UACGUAGGGUGCGAGCGUUAAUCGGAAUUACUGGGCGUAAAGCGUGCGCAGGCGGUUCGUUGUGUCGGCGGUGAAAGCCCCGGGCUUAACCUGGGAAUGGCCGUUGAAACUGGCGAACUGGAGUGUGGCAGAGGGGGGUGGAAUUCCGCGUGUAGCAGUGAAAUGCGUAGAGAUGCGGAGGAACACCGAUGGCGAAGGCGGAUCUCUGGGCCAUAACUGACGCUGAGGAGCGAAAGCAUGGGGAGCGAACAGG
This 253-nucleotide ribosomal RNA is filed under the name uncultured bacterium. RNAcentral describes it as "partial 16S ribosomal RNA". It matches the Rfam family "Bacterial small subunit ribosomal RNA", at positions 524 to 776 of the family's 1533-position model. The record is from RNAcentral.